UAAAAAAAUAUACAGUGAAAGCUGCUGCCAAAUUCCUCCCGAAACAAAAGUUUGUAAAAAUAUUAUGGAUGUUGUGGCAGCCAUUACAGUGUAACUGAAGACAGGGGAGACUUCUAGAAUUGCUUCAGAAGGUGGCGAGAACAAUGAGGUGAGUGUGUUUGAAGUGAGGGGACUAUUUUGAGGGACAUGAAGGGC
Molecule: long non-coding RNA, 195 nt
Filed under: Cavia porcellus (domestic guinea pig)
Lineage: Eukaryota; Metazoa; Chordata; Mammalia; Rodentia; Caviidae
Description: lncRNA (ENSCPOG00000036338.1)
Source: RNAcentral